This 446-nucleotide ribosomal RNA is filed under the name uncultured bacterium. RNAcentral describes it as "partial 16S ribosomal RNA". It matches the Rfam family "Bacterial small subunit ribosomal RNA", at positions 338 to 795 of the family's 1533-position model. The record is from RNAcentral.
CCUACGGGAGGCAGCAGUCGAGAAUCAUUCACAAUGGGGGAAACCCUGAUGGUGCGACGCCGCGUGGGGGAAUGAAGGUCUUCGGAUUGUAAACCCCUGUCAUGUGGGAGCAAAUUAAAAAGAUAGUACCACAAGAGGAAGAGACGGCUAACUAUGUGCCAGCAGCCGCGGUAAUACAGAGGUCUCAAGCGGUGUUCGGAAUCACUGGGCGUAAGGCGUGCGUAGGCUGUUUCGUAAGUCGUGUGUGAAAGGCGCGGGCUCAACCCGCGGACGGCACAUGAUACUGCGAGACUAGAGUAAUGGAGGGGGAACCGGAAUUCUCGGUGUAGCAGUGAAAUGCGUAGAUAUCGAGAGGAACACUCGUGGCGAAGGCGGGUUCCUGGACAUUAACUGACGCUGAGGCACGAAGGCCAGGGGAGCGAAAGGGAUUAGAUACCCCUGUAGUC